This is a long non-coding RNA of Cryptotermes secundus, 1260 nucleotides long. RefSeq lists it as uncharacterized. NCBI's taxonomy places the organism in Eukaryota, Metazoa, Arthropoda, Insecta, Blattodea, Kalotermitidae. The record is from RefSeq and is a predicted model, not a curated record. The transcript is spliced from 3 exons.
UCUGUAGUAUUAUUUUCAUUACAAUGAGCGCAGAAUUCAAUAUUUACUGUGAAUUAUUAAUUACGCUUGUCGGGGAAAGACCAGUACUGUGGGAUAAUUCAAGUGAAGAGUACAAAGACAGGCGGCUAACUUUGCAAGCUUGGAAGGAUGUAUGCCCACACCUUAAAGAAGAUUUUGAAACACUGGGAGAUAAGGAGAGAAACGAUAUAGGAAAACUGGUGAUAAAAAAAUGGGCAAACAUAAUGGAUAACUGGAUGAAAUGUCACAAGAAAUUAAAUGAGGAGCAGAAGAGCGGUUCUGGAGCAAAGAGGCGCAAAUACCUGUUUUAUAAGGAACUACGAUUUCUGACAAAAAUAGCAACUCAUCGACAAACUACUUCAAAUAUGCCUGAUAACGUUAACCUUGCUGACAGGCAGACUGAGAGGCAAGAGGAAAAACGUAAUCAUGAAUGUUAUGCCGCAAAUUUCAAAAGGGGAAAUUUGAGGCAUUGUCCCAAAUGUUACAACAAUUGCUAAGAGCUUUCACAAUGAUCAGGGAGGAGAAAUGCAGUUCCGCAUAUUGGUGUCGUCAUGUUUAAAAUGGAUGCAUAAAAUUGUCAGUAACUUGUCAAAUUCUUUUGACAUUCUAAAAAAUUAACAUGCUUUGUGUCGUCCUGUCGUAGUUUUUCAAACAGCAUACUAAAUGCACCAAAUUUAAAUCAGUCUUGCAACACAGGAUGCACCCAGUACCUUCUGCAUCGUCGCUGUUUCUUGUUGUAAAAAUAAUAUAGUGCAAUGAGGGUGCAUACAUCCAUAUUAUCCAUUCUACUGCACCCGUGCACAGACUCACCUCGAGUUGAGUGAAACUUUUACCGUGCGCCUACAGUCUCCGUGGACAAGGCCACCCGGUUUUGUCUGCCGCCCGGCGGAAUUCUUGUCGUGGACAAGGGCCCAUAGUGUGUAUAGCCGUCAGUGAGACGUCACGGAUGUCAUUGAAACUGAACUGAACGCGGUACUGACAUGUCACCGAUAUGUGUAAAUAGGCCUUGACUGUGAUGGCUGUGACAUCCAGUUCUUGGCAAUUCACCGCAUGUAAAACAAUUCAAGGCCGCCCUGGUCUGGUCAAGUGGGAUUUGUGGUGGACAAAGUGGCGUUGGGGCGGGUUUUUCUCCGAGUACUUUGGUUUCCCCUGCAGGGGCGGCCCGCGUAUAGGCACUGUGGAACUGCAGCACCCCCAAUUUCCACUUGAUAUUAUCGAUAACAUUUAUAUAAUGAGUCCUUU